Molecule: ribosomal RNA, 497 nt
Filed under: uncultured bacterium
Lineage: Bacteria
Description: partial 16S ribosomal RNA
Rfam family: Bacterial small subunit ribosomal RNA
Source: RNAcentral
GACGAACGCUGGCGGCGUGCCUAAUACAUGCAAGUUGAGCGCUGAAGGUUGGUACUUGUACCAACUGGAUGAGCAGCGAACGGGUGAGUAACGCGUGGGGAAUCUGCCUUUGAGCGGGGAACAACAUUUGGAAACGAAUGCUAAUACCGCAUAAAAACUUUAAACACAAGUUUUAAGUUUGAAAGAUGCAAUUGCAUCACUCAAAGAUGAUCCCGCGUUGUAUUAGCUAGUUGGUGAGGUAAAGGCUCACCAAGGCGAUGAUACAUAGCCGACCUGAGAGGGUGAUCGGCCACAUUGGGACUGAGACACGGCCCAAACUCCUACGGGAGGCAGCAGUAGGGAAUCUUCGGCAAUGGACGAAAGUCUGACCGAGCAACGCCGCGUGAGUGAAGAAGGGUUUCGGAUCGUAAAACUCUGUUGGUGGAGAAGAACGUUGGUGAGAGUGGAAAGCUCAUCAAGUGACGGUAACUACCCAGAAAGGGACGGCUAACUACGUG